AAAUUGAAGAGUUUGAUCAUGGCUCAGAUUGAACGCUGGCGGCAGGCCUAACACAUGCAAGUCGAACGGUAACAGGAAACAGCUUGCUGUUUCGCUGACGAGUGGCGGACGGGUGAGUAAUGUCUGGGAAACUGCCUGAUGGAGGGGGAUAACUACUGGAAACGGUAGCUAAUACCGCAUAAUGUCGCAAGACCAAAGAGGGGGACCUUCGGGCCUCUUGCCAUCGGAUGUGCCCAGAUGGGAUUAGCUAGUAGGUGGGGUAACGGCUCACCUAGGCGACGAUCC
RNAcentral lists this ribosomal RNA (285 nucleotides) under Escherichia coli. RNAcentral describes it as "partial 16S ribosomal RNA". It matches the Rfam family "Bacterial small subunit ribosomal RNA", at positions 1 to 282 of the family's 1533-position model. Lineage: Bacteria; Pseudomonadati; Pseudomonadota; Gammaproteobacteria; Enterobacterales; Enterobacteriaceae. The record is from RNAcentral.